CCAUGGUGCCAGGACUCGCACCUCAUGGGUCUUGAAGAAGGGGGAGUUCUCCAGAGCUUCACGAAGUUCUUCCAGGCGUGCCACGUACUUUCUCUGUGGGUGAGAGAGAAGAAUCCUUGAGAUUUUGUGGGCCCUUACUCACAAAGGAGAGGGCAGGCUCCAGCCACAAUGGGAUAAGGUGAGCAUGGGAAAAAUGGAGAGCUGGGGGAAUGAGGGGUUGGCUGCAUCAAGGUGGCACAGACAAGAGUGUGGCAAAUUACGUGGAUACCUACAAAUCUUAGCAGCUCCUCUCAUCAAGAGGUGGAGUCUGUUACCCUUUCCCUUUAAUGGAGGCUUGGUCACAUGACUUGCCUUGGCUAAUACAAUGUGGCAGAAAUGAUGGUGGACAUUCUGGGCCCUGGCAUCAAGAGGCCUUGCAUUUUCACAUGUUUUCUUGGCCCCCAGCUUCCAUUGUGAGAACAAGCCCAGGCUAGCCUCCUGGAUCACGAGAGACAUGACCAAGUCAUGAGCCAAGACGGUCAGCCAACCAGCAGACACGUAGGUGGUUUUAAGCAAGUCACUUCACCUGCCUCUGCAUCGGUUUCCUCAUUUGGCAAAUGGGCACUGUGCUGGAAGAAAUACAAGAAACUGACCAAGUGAUUUCCCAUAAGCAGGCAGCAGGAUGGAGGGACAGAAUGGGAAGAAUUGCAGAAGCUCAGGUGAGAGAUUUCUCCAUAUAUACUUUUUUUUUUUCGCUUUGAGUCAUUUGCUUUUCCUAAUAUUAUUUUAAACUGUAUGAAUAAAGAAAAAAAGAAAACUAAAAGAAAAAAGUAAAAA
Galeopterus variegatus (Sunda flying lemur) is the source of this 816-nucleotide long non-coding RNA. RefSeq lists it as uncharacterized. The transcript is spliced from 3 exons. NCBI's taxonomy places the organism in Eukaryota, Metazoa, Chordata, Mammalia, Dermoptera, Cynocephalidae. The record is from RefSeq and is a predicted model, not a curated record.